RNAcentral lists this small RNA (284 nucleotides) under Castor canadensis (American beaver). RNAcentral's name for it is "7SK RNA (ENSCCNG00000022518.1)". It matches the Rfam family "7SK RNA", at positions 1 to 253 of the family's 331-position model. From Rfam's summary of the family: 7SK was discovered as an abundant small nuclear RNA in the mid-70s but a possible function has only recently been suggested. Two independent studies have found that 7SK RNA binds the CDK9/cyclin T complex (known as elongation factor P-TEFb). The record is from Rfam by way of RNAcentral. Lineage: Eukaryota; Metazoa; Chordata; Mammalia; Rodentia; Castoridae.
AGAUUCCUAAGUUUGCGGCUGUGACGUCUGUCACCCCACUGAUCGCCAGAGUUGAUUGGGCAGAUCUGGCUCGCUAGGCAGGUGUCCCCUUCUCCCUCACAGCUCCAUGUGUGUCCCUCUGGAAGCUGCAUGCUGGGUGGAAAAGGAUGACCACCCCCAUAUAGGAGGACCUUUCUUCCAUUAAGGGUGUAUGAGUAGCUGUGCUCCCCUGCUAGAACCUCUCAAGAUUUUUGCCUUUUGAUCAGCAAAUAAUUUAUUUGUUAAGACAAUUGCUGCCUUCUAGG